UGGUUGGACAGAGUUGGAAAUGACUAAACAACAACAAAAACAAUAGACAGACUGACUGGAAGGAAGGCAAGGCCAAAUCAGUGAAGCAAAGACAAAGCAGGCAGCCUCUUGUUGAUCCUAACCCUGAGGGCAGGGUCCACUCACCACAGACCAGUAACACUUAAUGCACUUGAAGUGAAAAAUGAAUGUGACCAAGUUUUCCAUUAGAAGCUGAAGUUUUAUUACAGGAGAACAGUACAUAAAGCACAUCUAAAAUUGAUGUGUUCAAUGCACUUAAUAAAGGUUUUGUCCCUGCUCUGAUGCUGGCAUCUACAUACUUUCAGCUACAGCUUGAGUUCUUCGGCAUGUCCUCUCUUAAAAAGGCAUCAGCAACAGUUCCCACCAUUUCACCUUUUUUCAAAGCAUAAUUUGCUGUUAACUGAGAUGAAGAAAACAUGGGCUAGUUUAUGCACCAAUUAAUGGAUUUUGGAAAAAGCUAUAAGUGAUAACGGUGUGUCUAAUGUGUAGACCUAAAGUGCUUGGCUUUCAAGACAGGAGUGAACCUGGUGUCUGCUUUUAGGGAUAGGAUUGGGAAUGAUAUGGCAUUGCCUACAAGUAAGGACCAAUUCAAUAUCUGAAUAUAUUUUGUGUGAGCAGAUGAAUGUAAAAUAUUUACUAACAAUAACAGGCCGUGACUGAGAGUCAAUAUGAAAUACCAAAAUAUAACUAACCCUGUUACUGCCAGAAGUGAAUACUGUUCAUUUUUCAUUUGAAUCAACUUUAUACAUUUUGUCUCUAGUAAAUGGCAGGCCUUAAACAGGCGCUGGCUGGUAGAUACUGGAGUUUUAAUUUAGCUGAACUUUAAAACUAAAUUAGCAUUUGAGGGAGGUCACAUUAAAAAACCCCUCAUUUGCUAAACAGCCUGGAUUUAAGCUUGGACUGCAUCUAUAAAAAGACCAGAAUUAACAAUUACCACCAGUUACUCCAAUAAAAUAAACAAAACUUAUGAGGAUGGCUAAAUUCUGUCCAUGUAGCUAGCAGGAUUUUCAUUCUUUAGAAACAGCUCCCCUGUACUGGGGCAGAGGAAAACUGAAUAUUGGGAUGCUUUCAAAAUUCCAUUCACUGGAUGCAAUUAAAGUUUAUUGUGAUCAGGGGUUUCUCAGGCUUUUCUGGGAAUCUAUUUGCUAUCUUGGCAUGCAUUAGAGGGUUGCUUAUAGAAAGGAAUGGGUGAUCUUCUAUAUGUGCAGAGCGCCAAGAACAUAUCUGAGCCAGUCAUAGCUAUUCCUGUGUUUGUUGAAACUGUAUCGUAGAUACCUUCUUACAAAGUACAGUGGUACCUCGGUUUACGAUCCAUUCCGGAAGCCGUUCUUAAACCAAGGCGCGCUUUCCCUAAUGAGGCCUCCUGUCGCUGGUGCCCUUCCACUGUUCGAAUUCCGUUCGUAGACUGAGGUAAAGAUCUCAAACCAAGACACUAUUCCGGUUUUGUGGAGUUUGUAAACCAAAUCGUUCUUAAACCGGACUGUUCUUAACCCGAGGUACCACUGUACGUGUGGUCACUAGAAAGGGUAAAUGGCAAGAGGACUACAUUUGAAUUUCCCAUUUCUACAUUCCCAACCUAAGUGGCUCAGGAGUAUAGAGAUCUGCUGCUCUGCUCACAGAUGGGAGGUACAUACAUGAAGGCAGCCAUGUGUGUAACUUCUUACAUAGAACUGCUGGUAUAUAUUACUAACAUGUUUGCAUGAGUAGCUCCUGUCUGCAAGCCCAACAUGGUCCUAAAAUGUUUGCAUGUUCACUUUUGUUUGCACAUUAGAUCCUUUCAGAACUAAUUAGGCCUUGAUUUCCCUAUAUGCUAACAAGCUGCCAGCUGCCCUGGGAGUGAUAGAGAUGAAAGAUUCUGCAGUUAUAAGUUUGUUUCCUGUCUGACUGAACUGGCUUUACAGUUCUAAUGCCUAUAGAAAAUUUAAUCUUACAGUUUGCACUGGGCAUGUAGAAACCCUCAAAGAUGAGAAUUUUCAGCUCUUUAUACUACAUUGAAUGAAGACUUUGGGGCUCAAAACAAACAGGUCCAACUGCAUAGCCCCUCAUGCACCUUCCUUAAUAGGAAUUUUGUAUUACCUUUUACAUGUGAAUUACUAUUAUAUGUAUGCUAGAAUGCAUGUAUACUCCAACAAGUAAGUAAAAUUUUUCAUACCUUGCAAGAGGUCAUUUUGAAAUAAAAAAAUUACUUAAAUAAUCAUAAUAUCCAAUAUACGACAAAAAAAAUUUUUUUUUGAGAUUUUCUUUAGGAGCCUGAAAAAUCCAUGUCUAGACAGCUGGAUGGUUGGUCUUUUGAUGAAAACUUUCAGGCACUGAGACAAGAAGAUUACAUCAGUCUGUAUGCUUUAAAUUUAAAUCAUCAGGAUGCUAAAAAUUGGUAUAUUAUAAAAUUUAUUUUACAAAGAGUCAUUUGAAUAAGUUAGGUGUAGUUUGAAGAACUCCCUUGCUUUACAAGUUAUCCUGAGAAGAAUCUUUUACUCUUUGAUACAUUUUCUCAAUCAAGGGUGUUGGUGCAAUCAGGGUUAGAAGUGUACUUUGGAAUAACUGAGUUCUUGACUUGUCAACAGAUAAAAAACAGCACAGUUGCCACCUCUAGCUGAGUAGGAUUUAGGAUUUGUCACAAAAACACAAUGACCUAAGACUGUUUAAGGUUGAAUAAAAUACUCCAGAUGGUAUGUAAAUAAUUCCUAAAAUAAUGACUCAAAUUAGAACUCAGGUUCUAAAAUGUUUAGGUUUGUACAUAACUGCUACAUUUUGAAUGAAGCCCCAGUAUGCUCCAGAGAAAUUGGGUGGAGAGAAGCACUCCCUAGCCCUAUGUAUGUCCUUUUUAUUUUCUCUUCAGUAACAAAACAAGAUUUCUCAAAAAGUGUGUGAUUCACUUAUACUGGAAACCACAUUUGAAACAACACUUGGAAAAUUCAGUAUCACAUGUAUGCAUUGUGGUAGGACGUGGCCUAAUUCAAAGUCAUGGUUUAUGAUCCAUUUGCUACCAGGAAAGCAAACUGUGCUGAGAUUUUUCUGUGUGGAAAGCCAUCUGUGUAACAUAGCAGCCAUGUGGUUGGCAUCCAUUUUAACUACGCCAGUGAAAUGAGGGUUUUUGCUGUUUGUAGUUAAACUGGGCCCAAUCAAUAUGGUGUGCCUUAUUGGUGUCAAUGGUAUUGCCAGUUUAAUGUAUGUGGGCCUGUUUUAUUCCUUGGAAGGUGGGAAAAUAAGAGAAGAUUGAAAGGGCUAUUCCUAAAUUAAUUUCUUUAGAGUCAGAUACUUCAUUUCAUUUCAUAAUCCACUAUUCACAUAAUUGGCCAUCCUGGACAGCUUAUUGAGCAUUCCUCUGUGGCUAAACAGUGCAGCACUCAGUUGAAAUCAAGCUUUAGGCCUUUUUCUCUAGGUGUGGGGACCCGCUUAAAUUACACUGUUUAGUUUAUGGAAUAAGUAGCCACAUGUAAACCCACUUUUACUAAAUAAAAUAAACAACAGUGCCACAAUCCAGCAAACAGUUAUUCAGUCUUAAAUAUUAAAGAGAUUUGGGCACUCUUAACUGUACGCUGGAUUUAAGUCAAGGGAGACAAUUCACCAGGAAACACUAUUACAAUUUGGAAAUCUCCCAUUCAUUUCAAUCAGGACUACACAAAAGAACUUUGUGAUGGAUUGUACCCUAUCUGUCUCAACAGAUGACUAAUGGUGCACAUGCACUUGCUGGACACACACACACACACACACACACACACACACACACUCUAAAUGUAAACAAAAGUAUUAGGACCAAUAUUUCCAAAAGAUAUGUAUCUAAAUUUGGUUUUCUGAAUCCAUAUUUAGUCACCUAAGGAAUCGGCUGACUUUAAAAUGAGCUAAUUUUUCAGUAGCACCUUUAAAGUGAUUAAAUAUAGAUUUUCUCUAUCCCUAUGUCAGCAAUCUCUUUAAGAACAGGGAUUGUUUUGUUUAUAUAUUAAAUUGUAUUUUAAAAACACAAGCUAAAACUAGCAGUUUAGAAACUUGUCUUCCCCCCCUCCCCCCCUCGUCCCAUUACACAAAAUCACUGAAGGUAUUUCAUGAUAUGACCGGCCUCUCUUUAAAAGUAAAUGUGGAAAACAGCAGCAUAAACACCUUGCAGUGUCCCUAUACCUUCCAAACCUCCCACAGUUAAAUUUGAAGUUCUGGUGCACAUGCAGCACAACAAUGAACACGCUAGCAUAUAAUUUAAAAGAAAAAGGUGCAAAAUGAAAGUGCCUUAUCAAUUCAACAAUAAAAGCUAUACCAGUAACUACAUUUUAUAUUAAUUAAAACAAUAUUAUAAACAAUAUCUCUUUUGCUAUAUAUAGACUUCGUGCCCAUUUACCCUGUAAUAGAUUAUAAUGCUAUUGUCACUAUUGCUAUGGACCCUUUUCAUGCCAUUCCGCCUACUGGC
This is a long non-coding RNA of Podarcis raffonei (Aeolian wall lizard), 4417 nucleotides long. RefSeq lists it as uncharacterized. NCBI's taxonomy places the organism in Eukaryota, Metazoa, Chordata, Lepidosauria, Squamata, Lacertidae. The transcript has 3 exons. The record is from RefSeq and is a predicted model, not a curated record.